RNAcentral lists this long non-coding RNA (1031 nucleotides) under Gossypium barbadense (sea-island cotton). RNAcentral describes it as "long non-coding RNA (GBAR_LNC007704)". The record is from RNAcentral. Lineage: Eukaryota; Viridiplantae; Streptophyta; Magnoliopsida; Malvales; Malvaceae.
UACCGGGGGGAAAAGAAAAUAGGAAAAGAGGGAAGGAGAGAAGAGAAGGAGAAGGGGAAGGGAGAAACCCGGCCAGGGGCCGGUCACCGGACCGGCGCCGGCGCCGGCCGCCGUGUAGAGGUAUUUUUUUCUGAUUUUUUCUCCUUUUUUUUGCUUUUUUAUUAUUUAUUAUAUUCUUGUAUGUAUAGGUGACUAAAAUGGGGUUUAAAACGAAGUAGAAAUAUAAAAAAGAGAACGGAAAAAAAAUCACCUCUCGGUCUUUUUGACUUCUGAUUCGUUGAUCUUUUGUGUUUUUUUGUUUGCCUGUAUGCUAUUUUUAUAUUUAAAUGAUGAUUGAAUCACUAUAUUGGCUCUGAAAUUGAAUGCUUUACUUCUCGUUUUUUAUUUUUCCUUACUACCGAAUCUGGAACCCUACAUUUGUUGUUUGGAUGGCUUUAUAUAGCCUAAUUUUUACAUACUUUAUUAUUAUUUUCUUUUCUUGCUUCUGUUUUGCUUGUUUGCAGAGCAUGGCCGAUGCUGCAGAGGGGGCGGUGGAGGACAUGACCGGUGGGGCGGUGCUGCAGUGCUGUCAGAGGGUAGGUUCGGCGCUGCAGGUUAAGGGUAUGGGUGGCUAGGGUUUGGUUAGUGGGUCUGAUAGGUUUAAUUGGGCUAGGGGUUUGGAUAAUUUUAGGUAUUGGGCUGAUAGUAUUGGGUUAGUGGGUUAGUUUGUUUGUAAUGGGUAUUGGGCUUGAUGGGUUAAGGUUGUAAACGGGCCUUUUGUAAUGGUAUUAGGUUAGUAGGUCUGAAUUUAGGCCCCAAAAUUGGCCUGUACAUUCUAUUUUUAAAAACGAAAUGAAAGACUAUCACACCGUACAACUGCAUUUUUUUUUCAUGGGACCAUUUGGCAGAAAUCAUGUGAUCGACUUGGUUUUUUCCCCUUGUAGUUAACGCUACAAAUUGAUGGUGGUUGUUUUUUUUUGGUACAAAAAGACAAAUUGAUGGUUGAUGAAUGUUUAGUACUGAGCUUAUUAUUCUCGUGGAUUUGUUUUUUA